GUUCAACCCUGUCUCUUAUGAGCUCUCUCUAGAACGUUGGUCAAAACAGAAGAUAACGCUCACGGCCCAGGAAUGUCAGGAACGGCUUUGUCUGACGUUCCCUCGGGGGGAAAUAUAUUGUGACGAUGCCUGGAAAUAUGAUGCCCAUAUUUGCCUCUUAUCUACAUUUCUGAGGCCCAAAGAGCCGAAACCGCUCCAACGCCUUGCUAUCGGGCUUUAAUAGCCAGAGAGAUAAGUAUGGUUUGUGGCUAAGCAUGGUGGGGAGAGACUGUGAAACAAACACAGGCAAGCUGCUGUACACCUCUUCAGAAAUCUCCCAGACUGUUAUCUUGUCUCCACCACGUGGGAUUGCUGAGUUAACAUGAGGGGGGAAACGGAGGUACAUCUUCUUAUCGGCACAUGCACUAGGGCUGCGAUGAAAGGAGUCAAAUCCCUCCACUCAACACUGCAGAGAUACUGUAGAGGGGAAAGAUAAACUCCAGGUGGUGUGAUGAAGAUUGGGCUUCUCUGGCAUGCCGUUGUCACGAUGAUAUGAACACUACCCUGAAUCUAUCCGCUGCCUUUGACACCGUAAACCAUCAGAUCCUCUCCACCCGCUCAUGGCUGGGCGGUUCAGGCUCUGUACAUACUUGGAUUGCAUCCUACCUGGCAGGCUGCUCCUACCAGGUGAUGUGGAGAGAAUCUGUCUGCACCACGUACUCUCACUACUAUUGUCCCCCAGUGCUCGGUUCUUGGCCCUCUUCUCUCUAUACACCAAGUCACUCGGCUCCGUCAUAUCCUCACAUGGUCUCUCCUAUUAUUGCAAUGACACUCAACUACCUCCCCACCUCCAAAUAUGUCAGCUUGAAUGCCGGCCCACCACAUCAACAAGACAGAGCUGCAGUUUCUCUCAGGGAAGGCCUGCUCACUCCAAGACCUCUCCAUCACGGUUGAUAACUUCACGGUUUCCCCCUCCCAGAGUGCAAAGAACCUGGACAACACCCUGUCGUUCUCUGCAAACAUCAAAGAAGUUACUCGCUCCUACAUGUUCAUGCUCUACAACAUACGUAGAGUACGACCCUACCUCACACAGGAAGCGGUGCAGGUCCUAAUCCAGGCACUUGUCAUCUCCCGUCUGGACUAGGCAGCUCCCGCUUAGCCCAGUCUUCUCUGUCCUGGCACCCCAAUGGUGGAACCAGGUAGAACAGAAGAGGCUCUGCCGUUCUUCAGAAAACAUCUGAAACCCUACCUCUUCAAAGUGUAUGUUAAAUAUUCCCACAGCAGAUGUGUACAGUUCUUUAUAGAAGUGGGAGAAUCUUUGAUUGAUUUGGGUUAGUAGUAAUUCCUGUUUCAGAUUCAAUAGUUGUUAUAUCAGCUAAUAGAUCAUUACUGGGUAGCUUAUUGACCAGCAAACAACUAGGACGAUUACCAUGGAAGUAAUGGUUUAGUUCAACUCUACAAAUGGAAAAUUCUGCUCUCUGGCUUGACUUUGGAAUGAGUAAUAGCUACCUGGUCUGAAGAGUGUUUGUUGAGAAUGCUGUAAUGCAGUUAACAACAUUUCCAAUUGUGAUAUCUUCUUUAAUUGUAAUUUAUUCAACUCCAAUGCAGUUGCAUUAUUUUGGUGGCAUCCCAUAGAAUCCAGCUAUCAUCGACUGAAUUUUUAUUGAUCAUUAUGAAUGAAUUUAGUUCAAAUUUAUCACAAUGUAGCAAUAAAGCGUUGAAAUUCCAUCUUGUGGCUCUUUUAGUAGAUUCUACGAUUUGAAGUUGGCAUUAGUAAGUAUGGUGGUCAGACAAGCUCAUGUCGAAUUUCUAUUUUCUUAAUUAAAGAAAAUAGAGGUGUCGAUAGUAUGAAAUCAAUUUGUGAGAAUGUUUUAUGCCUGUUUGAGUAGA
Molecule: long non-coding RNA, 1869 nt
Filed under: Salmo salar (Atlantic salmon)
Lineage: Eukaryota; Metazoa; Chordata; Actinopteri; Salmoniformes; Salmonidae
Description: lncRNA (ENSSSAG00000115556.1, ENSSSAG00000119237.1)
Source: RNAcentral